Long non-coding RNA from Oryza sativa Japonica Group (Japanese rice), 1216 nucleotides. RefSeq lists it as uncharacterized. The record is from RefSeq and is a predicted model, not a curated record. NCBI's taxonomy places the organism in Eukaryota, Viridiplantae, Streptophyta, Magnoliopsida, Poales, Poaceae.
CGCCGCGUUCUUUGGCCUUCCCCUUCUCCCUGUGUCGCUUGCUCUUUCUGACUCAGCGCUCGCCCCCUCCUUCCCCCAUCUUGCGGCGAGCAGUCGCCCCGACUCCUCCACCAAACCCAAAUCGCCACCGCCAGGGACACUGACGCCUGCCUCCCCCACCGAACUGCACCUCCGGGACACUGACGCCCGCCUCGCCGAUCCCCUCACAUCCUCUGCCGCUCCCCUCGCCCCCUUCCGCGUCGUCUGCACCGCCCACGAUCUCCGCCUCGACGACCGGUUCCACAACGCCAUUCCUCACGAUCCCCUCCCGUCCUCCUCGAUUGGCGUCGCCCCCGAUCUCUCCUCGACCGCCUCCACGCAACCACCACCACCAAUCUCCGCCGAGCACUGUUCUCCACCGGAUCCCUCUCCACCGAGCCGCCGUCGGGUCGUCGGCAAUCCCUCGACCUCCUCCGGGCUGCCACCGAGUCGGGAUCCGGGAACGCGGCCGGAUCAGCGUCAACCGCCUGGCCGCUCCUCCACUCCGCCACCACCGAGGGACAUCUCCAUCUACAAAAGCCGUCCUCUCUUCCCAGCUGACCCAGAUGAUCGCCAGCUCUAUCCUGUCGGCUUCGUCUUACUGGAUGUCAUCGACCCUACCACCUACUGCCUCUAAGCCUGUCAGUUCCAUCAAGGUUUUCUUUUUCUCCUCUUCCUAUUCUCUAUUUGUGUGAUGGAAUAGGACGAAGAGGUUCAGUAAAGGGGUCAUUUUCUAUGCCCGCGCUGUCGAGAGCUGUGACGCUUGAAGUGGCGGGGUGAUGCUUGUUGCUUCUUGAACUCUCGCUAUGUGUGCAAAAAGAGGAACAGUCUGUGCUCUUCCUGCAUCAUAGGAGACGGCGCAAGGUGAUUGUGGAGGCAUGGUGGACAAUGGAAGCAUUGAGACGUGCUAGAAGGCGUGAUAUGCAAAAUUGUUGUGUAUCAUGCAUGGAUGUUUCAGGAACAUUGGGUUAAUUGUGUUGAGUAUAUAGUAUUGAGAUACUGAUUAACUAAAAUUGUCUAGGGGUGUUUAUGGUUAUGAUCAUAGUCAUAUUUACUGAUUGAUGGUAAUGUUUUAUUCUCUGAAUUUUUCUAUGGAGUACAUCAAAAUAGAUGGUUUUGGAUUGCACAAUCUGAAUUUAUUUCUCAAUGAACCAAUGCUUUGAAUUGUUAUAAUGUUGUUCAAAAUAGAUGUUUUCUA